Molecule: unclassified non-coding RNA, 478 nt
Filed under: Hevea brasiliensis (rubber tree)
Lineage: Eukaryota; Viridiplantae; Streptophyta; Magnoliopsida; Malpighiales; Euphorbiaceae
Source: RNAcentral
UUCCAAGUUGCAGAAUCAAGAAAUUACAAUUCUUGGGAAUUCAUGUCUCACUGCUUAAAUAAAGCAAACAAAAAUUUAGUGCAUAAUUCAUAAUAUUAGACUUUCAUAAUAGUUUAAAAGCCCGACCUAUAUUAUAUAUAAUAUAUACCAGAACUAAUUUGCUUCAAGAUCAUCAUCAUACUAACAGACCUGCUUCAUCUCGCCAAGUCCUGAAAAUACACAAAAGUCAUCAGUUGUUGGCUUCAGUUCAAUGCAUUGAGAUAAAAGUCCGUGUCGAAAGGAGCUUUGAACACUCCCAUUUCCUGAAAGCUACCACCACUGUUACUAUUUGCAGCAGCCAAUGUAUGGUAACGAGGAUCGGAUGAAUGUUGUCCAGCCUGCCAGUAUUGACUGGACAUAUGCGGUGGAAUUGCCUGCAUCAUCUGCUCGGGCAUGCUGGUCUGAUUUGCAUGGUUGAGUGAAACACUCUCAGGCUCGG